RNAcentral lists this ribosomal RNA (254 nucleotides) under uncultured bacterium. RNAcentral describes it as "partial 16S ribosomal RNA". It matches the Rfam family "Bacterial small subunit ribosomal RNA", at positions 524 to 776 of the family's 1533-position model. The record is from RNAcentral.
CACGUAGGGUGCGAGCGUUGUCCGGAAUUAUUGGGCGUAAAGAGCUCGUAGGCGGUGUGUCGCGUCGGCCGUGAAAACCUGCAGCUUAACUGUGGGCUUGCGGUCGAUACGGGCAUCACUGGAGUUCGGCAGGGGAGACUGGAAUUCCUGGUGUAGCGGUGAAAUGCGCAGAUAUCGGGAGGAACACCAGCGGCGAAGGCGGCACUCUGGGCUGGAACUGACGCUGAGGAGCGAAAGCGUGGGUAGCAAACAGG